RNAcentral lists this ribosomal RNA (451 nucleotides) under uncultured organism. RNAcentral's name for it is "partial 16S ribosomal RNA". It matches the Rfam family "Bacterial small subunit ribosomal RNA", at positions 330 to 797 of the family's 1533-position model. The record is from RNAcentral.
CGUACACUCCUACGGGAGGCAGCAGUGGGGAAUAUUGGACAAUGGGCGCAAGCCUGAUCCAGCCAUGCCGCGUGAGUGAUGAAGGCCCUAGGGUUGUAAAGCUCUUUCACCGGAGAAGAUAAUGACGGUAUCCGGAGAAGAAGCCCCGGCUAACUUCGUGCCAGCAGCCGCGGUAAUACGAAGGGGGCUAGCGUUGUUCGGAAUUACUGGGCGUAAAGCGCACGUAGGCGGAUCGAUCAGUCAGGGGUGAAAUCCCAGGGCUCAACCCUGGAACUGCCUUUGAUACUGUCGAUCUGGAGUAUGGAAGGGGUGAGGGGAAUUCCGAGUGUAGAGGUGAAAUUCGUAGAUAUUCGGAGGAACACCAGUGGCGAAGGCGGCUCACUGGUCCAUUACUGACGCUGAGGUGCGAAAGCGUGGGGAGCAAACAGGAUUAGAAACCCGUGUAGUCCCA